UGCAGGCAAGAAGAUGGAACUGGAAAAUAUCAUCUGAAUGAGGACUGAAGUCAAGGACUGCUGUGGUUGAAUUAAGGAAAGGCUGGAAGAAGCUGAAGAGGUUGGCGACCCCAAAAGAAGACCAGAAGUCUCAACUCUCCCAGACUCCUGAGAUCUCUCAGACAUUGAGUCCCCAACCAGCAGCAUACAAGAACUGGUGGGAGGACCCUGACGCAUAUACAGCAGAGGACUGCCUGGUCUGGCCUCAGUGAGAGAAUCCUUGCCUAACCCUUUAGAGACUUGAGGACCCAGGAAGUGGGGAGACCUGGUCAGUGUCUUCGAGUAACUGUUGGUUGCCUUUGGUGGCCAGAUGAUGGUGUGAGAUCCCCUAAACUGGAUUUACUGACAUUUGUGAGUUGCCAUGUGGGUUCAGGAGAGUCAACCUGGUUUCUCUGGAAGAGGAGAUAGUCCUUUUUAUUACUGAGCCAUACCUCCGUUCCCUCUUUCAAAUUCUGUUUUUAAUUCUUCUCUCAUGUAUUACAGCCCAAAAAAGAGAUUUUUAUCUCUCCUCUCCUCAGGGUCAGUCUUCCCUACCUGUCUACUCCCCCCAAGACCUUUCCUGUAUUAUUGUCAUGUUUGUCUCUAAUGUAGUAUCUUGUUUGUUGAGUUUUGUUAUUUGGUUACACAGUCAUUGCUAAAAGAUUUGUCGUAAGAUUUAAAUUUGUGUUUUGUUUUUCAAACGAUUGUAAAGGAAAUUUAUUGUGUUUCCAAAAUAUUGUCAAUAUUAAAAUAUGAAAACUCUCUAUGUUUAUUUAGUGGUUCAGUGGUAGCUAUCAACACAGCAGAAUCCAAAAUCAGCUUGGAGGCAAGUCCUUCGGACAUCUCUGAGGGGUCAUCUUGUUGUUUGAAGAACCAUCUUAAUUGUAACUAAGAACAUCCCCUGGGUGGAAAAUCCUGUAUUGCAUAAAAUGAUGAAGGCAGGAGAAAUGACUUCAAUUCAACAUGAAAUUAAUCCCCCAGACCAUCAUUAGAGUGCAAAGGUGACCUGAGCAUCUGAGCCUUCAGGAAGACAUGCUUCAUGGAUCUCAAUUUGGAUUUCUGAACAGAGAAACAGGUAUCAUCAAUUACUGGUACUUGUAAUGCACAACAUUGCCAUGAAGAAAACGGAAUUAGCACAGAGCAUGCAGAGUACCUUCCAACUCCAUGAACAUUACAUGUGAAGCUUCAAGUUUGGUAUCUGCACAAUUUCUCAAUGGUUGAUGACAGAAGUAUCUCUGAUACGGAGUCUCAGUGUACUUUGUAGUGAGGUUGCAAAUUCAAGCACUAAUGCAAUGCUUCCUGUCAGCCUCCUGAGAAGAUCACACUGGAGACCACUACUCUGAUCUAUGAUAUAAACUGCAAGAACUUUCCUGAUGAGGAAUAGGACUCUGUGUUUAUACCCUUAACCAAUGCUGUAACUGUGAUCUAUGGCAAGGGAAGAACAAGAUCUCAGGACUGGUUCAUCACCUUACUAAGAUAUUCAAAAUUACAUAAUACUAGAAGAACUUUUUUUUCUUACAAUCUUAGAAUGUGGAGGGAAUCUUAUUUAACUAGUGUACAGUUGACAGAGGAUACCUAGGGAGUUUAUUCCCAUGCUGAGAUACCAAUUCCUUACUACUGUCCACAGCAUUCUUAGAUACUUCCUUUUCAAAGUGAGUCUAGCAGAGGCAAAAAGUUCGUAGUCGUUCAUACUGUAAUUUAGAAUUAUACAAAAAGUGUUUAUGCAUAGACAGUGGAUAGAAAGGCUCAAUUCUGCAACUCAUGUGUUAUCUUUGACUUUUUAAAAGGAGCUGUUCACUAGAGAGUAGCUGCAAGGAAUGGAAAAUUUGAUGAGCCACACUGAGGAAGACUGAGGAAGCGGAGAGCUGACAUCAAUUCACAUUAUGGUGUAAUCAUUUUUCUAUAAACGGAAAACCAGAAGUCUCAACUAUCCCGGACUCCUGAGAUCUCUUAGACAUUGAGCCCAACCAGCAUCAUAGAAGAAUUGGUGGGAGGACACUGACACAUAUACAACAGAGGACUUCCUGGGCUGGUCUCAGUCAAUGUCUUUGAAUAACUGUCCAUUGCAUUUGGUGGCCAGAUGAUGGUGUGAGAUCCCCUGAAACUGGAAUUAGUGAUAUUUGUGAGUUGCCUUGUGGGUUCAGGAGAGUUAACCUGGUUUCCCUGGAAGAUCAGACAGUCCUUUUUAUUACUGAGCCAUACCUCCAUUCCCUCUUCUUAAUUCUGUUUUUAAUUCUUCUCCCACGUAUUACAUCUCCAAAACAGAGCUUUUCAUCUCUCCUCUCCUCAGGGUCAGUCUUCCCCACCUGUAUCUCCCCCCAAGACCGUUCCUGUAUUAUUGUCAUGUGUCUCUAAUGUAGUAUCUUGUUUGUGGAGUUUUGUUAUUUGGUUACACUGUCAGUGCUAAAAAGAUUUGUUGUAAGAUUUAAAUUUGUGUUUUGUUUUUUAAAUAAUUUUAAAGGAAAUUUAUUGUGUUUGCAAAAUAUUGUCAAUAUUAAAAUAUGAACAUUCUCUAUGUUUAUUUUGUGGUUCAGUGGUAGCUAUCAACAUGGCAGAAUCUGAAAUCAACUUGGAGGCAAGUCCUUCGGACAUCUGUGAGGGGUCAUCUUGUUGUUUGAAGAACUAUCUUAAUUGUAGCUAAGAACAUCCCCUGGGUGGAAAAUCCUGUAUUGUAUAAAAUGAUGAAGGCAGGAGAAAUGGCUUCAAUUCAACAUGAAGUUAAUCCCCCAGACCAUCUUAAGAGUCCAAAGGUGACCUGACUAUCUGAGCCUUCAGGAAGACAUGCUUCAUGGAUCUUAAUUUGGAUUUCUGAACAGAGAAACAGGUAUCAAUUGCACAUAGCUUCUAAUUAGAGGUAGGACUCCAUUUCUGUUUCUCCUGUUUACCUCUGAGUCUUUUGUUCAGUUUGAACUCAGAAAUCUUGUGUAUGCUUGAAUAAUCGCUGUGAGUGGAAAUGUUUCUAGGUCCUGUUGUACAUGGAAGAGUCUUGUUCUUGAGAGUCAUCUAUCAUCUCUUGCUCCUAAAGUCUUUCUAAUUCCCCUCCCCAUAGAUUUGUGAUGCUUCAGGGGAAAGGUUCGAUGAAGAAAUCUUACUCAGGACAAGUGCUCCAAAGUCUCUCACUGUCUACAAUAUCCAGUUGCAGUUCUCCAAGCUAGUUCCCAUCUACUAGAGGAAGAAGCUCCUCUGAUGUGAGUUAAGUAAUGCACUGGUCUAUGGAUAUAACUAUGUAAUUUUGAGUCACUUCAUUGUAAUGUGACAUUUGCAGAAUUAUACUGGUUUUCUACUAGACCCAUUUUUGGGUUCUUGAGCACAUUAACAGUGUCUUGUAUGAG
RNAcentral lists this small RNA (3350 nucleotides) under Rattus norvegicus (Norway rat). RNAcentral describes it as "uncharacterized LOC102546835". Lineage: Eukaryota; Metazoa; Chordata; Mammalia; Rodentia; Muridae. The record is from RNAcentral.